GACGUAGGGCGCGAGCGUUGUCCGGAUUUAUUGGGCGUAAAGAGCUCGUAGGCGGCUUGUCGCGUCGACUGUGAAAACCCGUGGCUCAACCAUGUGGUCUGCAGUCGAUACGGGCAGGCUAGAAUUCGGUAGGGGAGACUGGAAUUCCUGGUGUAGCGGGGAAAUGCGCAGAUAUCAGGAGGAACACCGGUGGCGAAGGCGGGUCUCUGGGCCGAUAUUGACGCUGAGGAGCGAAAGCGUGGGGAGCGAACAGG
Molecule: ribosomal RNA, 254 nt
Filed under: uncultured bacterium
Lineage: Bacteria
Description: partial 16S ribosomal RNA
Rfam family: Bacterial small subunit ribosomal RNA
Source: RNAcentral